GGUCCCGCCUGCCCUGUGACUACUAGUUCAACGGCCGCGGUAUUCUGACCGCGCAAAGGUAGCGUAAUCACUUGUUCCUUAAAUGAGGACCGGUAUGAAUGGCAUAACGAAGGCUUUACUGUCUCCUUUCCUCAGUCAGUGAAAUUGAUCUCUCCGUGCAGAAGCGGAUAUAUUCCCAUAAGACGAGAAGACCCUAUGAAGCUUCAGACGCUAGAACAGAACAUACUAACUGUUUUUCAAACAAACAAUAUUUAUUGAAUCACUGUUCCCCUGUCUUUGGUUGGGGCGACCCUGGGGAAAGAAAAAACCCCCAUGUGGACUGGGAACUCUACCGUUCCCUUAACUAUCGAGCCACAGCUCUAAUACACAGAAUUUCUGACCAAAAGAUCCGGCAAAGCCGAUUAACGAACCUAGUUACUCUAGGGAUAACAGCGCCAUCCCCUUUGAGAGCUCCUAUCAACAAGGGGGUUUACGACCUCGAUGUUGGAUCAAGACAUCCUGAUGGUGCAGCCGCUAUUAAGGGUUCGUUUGUUCAACGAUUAAAGUCUU
This 549-nucleotide ribosomal RNA is filed under the name Neomyxus leuciscus (brown mullet). RNAcentral's name for it is "partial 16S ribosomal RNA". It matches the Rfam family "Bacterial large subunit ribosomal RNA", at positions 1851 to 2597 of the family's 2925-position model. The record is from RNAcentral. Lineage: Eukaryota; Metazoa; Chordata; Actinopteri; Mugiliformes; Mugilidae.